GUUGGUUAGAAUACCUGCCUGUCACGCAGGGGGUCGCGGGUUCGAGCCCCGUCCGUUCCGCCA
Molecule: transfer RNA, 63 nt
Filed under: Yersinia pestis PY-10
Lineage: Bacteria; Pseudomonadati; Pseudomonadota; Gammaproteobacteria; Enterobacterales; Yersiniaceae
Also listed under: 8 other names
Description: partial tRNA-OTHER
Rfam family: tRNA
About the family: Transfer RNA (tRNA) molecules are approximately 80 nucleotides in length. Their secondary structure includes four short double-helical elements and three loops (D, anti-codon, and T loops). Further hydrogen bonds mediate the characteristic L-shaped molecular structure. tRNAs have two regions of fundamental functional importance: the anti-codon, which is responsible for specific mRNA codon recognition, and the 3' end, to which the tRNAs corresponding amino acid is attached (by aminoacyl-tRNA synthetases). tRNAs cope with the degeneracy of the genetic code in two manners: having more than one tRNA (with a specific anti-codon) for a particular amino acid; and 'wobble' base-pairing, i.e. permitting non-standard base-pairing at the 3rd anti-codon position.
Source: RNAcentral